GGCGAACGCUGGCGGCAGGCUUAACACAUGCAAGUCGAGCGGGCACUUUCGGGUGUCAGCGGCGGACGGGUGAGUAACGCGUGGGAACGUGCCCUCUGGUUCGGAAUAACUCAGGGAAACUUGAGCUAAUACCGGAUACGCCCUUUUGGGGAAAGGCUUGCUGCCGGAGGAUCGGCCCGCGUCUGAUUAGCUAGUUGGUGAGGUAACGGCUCACCAAGGCGACGAUCAGUAGCUGGUCUGAGAGGAUGAUCAGCCACACUGGGACUGAGACACGGCCCAGACUCCUACGGGAGGCAGCAGUGGGGAAUAUUGGACAAUGGGCGCAAGCCUGAUCCAGCCAUGCCGCGUGAGUGAUGAAGGCCUUAGGGUUGUAAAGCUCUUUUAUCCGGGACGAUAAUGACGGUACCGGAGGAAUAAGCCCCGGCUAACUUCGUG
RNAcentral lists this ribosomal RNA (435 nucleotides) under uncultured bacterium. RNAcentral's name for it is "partial 16S ribosomal RNA". It matches the Rfam family "Bacterial small subunit ribosomal RNA", at positions 28 to 507 of the family's 1533-position model. The record is from RNAcentral.